UUCCGUAGGUGAACCUGCGGAAGGAUCAUUAAUGAUUGCGAAUCGUUGCCUUCUGUGCUGGCCAGCCACUGGCAAGUGCACGUCGGUGAUGUUCAUCCAACACCCUGUGGACCUUUGGCCUCUUGCUAGCUUCGGCCGGCAGAGGAAUUUACACAAACUCGAAUGUAAUGAAUUUUACUGUCGUGCGCAAGCACUAAUGUACAACUUUCAACAACGGAUCUCUUGGCUCUCGCAUCGAUGAAGAACGCAGCGAAAUGCGAUAAGUAAUGUGAAUUGCAGAAUUCAGUGAAUCAUCGAAUCUUUGAACGCACCUUGCACCCUUUGGCAUUCCGAAGGGUAUGCUCGUUUGAGUGUCAUUGUACUCUCACACUCCCGAUCGUUCGAUUGGGAGCGGUGGACUUGGGUGUUGCUGCUUGCCGUGGCUCACCUCAAAUGGGUUCGUGCACCUCUUGGUUGGACAUAGUACGGCGUGAUAAGUGUCUUCGCCGGCGCCUCAGUAGAGGGUGGCCGAUCGGGAGCUCUGUGCUUCCAACCGUCCUCGGACAACGACUGACAACUUGACCUCAAAUCGAGUAGGACCACCCGCUGAACUUAAGCAUAUCAAUAAGCGGAGGAAAAGAAACUAACAAGGAUUCCCCUAGUAACGGCGAGUGAAGAGGGAAGAGCUCAAAUUUUGAAUCUGGCGUCUUUGGCGUCCGAAUUGUAAUCUAGAGAAGUGUUUUCCGUGACGGACCGUGCAUAAGUCUCCUGGAAUGGAGUGUCAUAGAGGGUGAGAAUCCCGUAUAUGGCACGGACUCCCGUUGCUCUGCGAUACACUCUCGACGAGUCGAGUUGUUUGGGAAUGCAGCUCUAAAUGGGUGGUAAAUGCCAUCUAAAGCUAAAUAUUGGCGAGAGACCGAUAGCGAACAAGUACCGUGAGGGAAAGAUGAAAAGCACUUUGGAAAGAGAGUGAAACAGUACGUGAAAUUGUUGAAAGGGAAACGCUUGAAGUCAGUCGCGCCGUUCGGGAUUCAGCCUUGCUUCUGCUCGGUUUACUUCCCGUUGGGUGGGUCAACAUCAGUUUCGGUCGGAGGAGAAAGACGUGGGGAAGGUGGCAGCAUUCGUGCUGUGUUAUAGCCCCGUGUUGUAUACUUCGGCUGGGACUGAGGACCGCAGCACGCCUCUGGCCGGGGUUCGCCCACGUACGUGCUUAGGAUGUUGGCAUAAUGGCUUUAAGCGACCCGUCUUG
Molecule: ribosomal RNA, 1228 nt
Filed under: uncultured Sebacina
Lineage: Eukaryota; Fungi; Basidiomycota; Agaricomycetes; Sebacinales; Sebacinaceae
Description: eukaryotic LSU rRNA
Rfam family: Eukaryotic large subunit ribosomal RNA (bases 559-1228)
Source: RNAcentral